GGGGCACUUGGGGGGCAGUUGGGGGGCAGUUGGGGGUGUGGGGGGGCAAUUGGGGGGCAGAUGGGGGGCAGUUGUGGGGCAAUUUGAGGGGCAGGAGGGGGUCGGGGUCUCUGUGGGUCUGCAGGGCUCCCUAUGGGGUCGCUGUGGGGCUCUGUGGGGUUUUAUGGGUCCUUAUGGCGUCUGUCUGGGAUGCUGUGGGAUUUUAUGGGGUUUUUAUGGGGUUCUUUAGGGCUCCCGUGGGUCUCUAUGGGGUUUUAUGGGGUUUUCAGGUCCCAGGACUCAGGGGAAUGAGGGAAGCUUUGGUUACGGUGCCUAUGGGAUCCCAUGGGGUUUUUAUGGGGUUUUGGUGCCAGGACUCGGAGGCGUCGGACUGGGAGGAGUGGGGGGAGCUUUGGGGUCUCUAUGGGGUCUCUAUGGGAUUCUAUAGGUCUCUAUGGGUCUCUAUGGGUCCAUGUGGGAUCUUAUGGGGUUUUUAUGGGGUUUUUGGUGCCAGGACUCGGAGGUGUCGGACUCAGAGGAGUGGGGGGAGCUUUGGGGUCCCUAUGGGGUCCCUUUGGGAUUGUAUGGGUCUCUAUGGGUCUCUAUGGGUCUCUAUGGGUCCAUGUGGGAUCCUAUGGGGUUUUUAUGGGGUUUUUGGAUCCCAGGACUCAGAGGAGUGUGGGGAGCUUUGGGGUCCCUAUGGGGUCUCUAUGGGAUUCUAUGGGUCUCUAUGGGAUCCUAUGUGUCCCUAUGGGUCCCUAUGGGAUCCUAUGGGUCCAUGUGGGAUGCUAUGGGGUUUUUCUGGGGUUUUUCUGGGGUUUGUCUGCGUUUGUCCAGGACUCGGAGGACUCGGAGGCGUCGGACUCGGAGGAGUGGGGCAGCUCGGGGUCGGGGACGGAUUCGGAGUCGGACGAGGAGGAGGGGAAGUUCACCUCGCUGGCCUCCAAGUUCCUCAAGAAGUGCGCCCCAUAGCCGCCCCAUAGCCGCCCCACAACUGCCCCACAGCUGCCCCAUAAGUGCCCCACAGCCGCCCCAUAGCUGCCCCAUAAGUGCCCCACAGCCGCCCCAUAGCUGCCCCAUAAGUGCCCCACAGCCGCCCCACAGCCGCCCCACAGCCGCCCCACAGCCGC
Molecule: long non-coding RNA, 1109 nt
Filed under: Phasianus colchicus (ring-necked pheasant)
Lineage: Eukaryota; Metazoa; Chordata; Aves; Galliformes; Phasianidae
Description: lncRNA (ENSPCLG00000017339.1)
Source: RNAcentral